CUUCAGUGUCACUACAUUUACAAUUCAUAUGAUAAACAAUAAUGGCCCAUAGCUCGUACAUGUACAAUAUGAAUGUUAGAAGGUCCACCACACUUUCCCGCUCCAUCCUUGCUACAGCUAAGAGAGAGAAUAGGCAUACAAUGUGUUAUCCUUGCAAUAUGAGAAGCAAAGUACAGAGCCACAACGGUAUUUCAAGUAAGCAUAAGAGAGAGAAUAUAUUGCAUUACUUCUAUAAGGAAUAUAAUGGUUCCAAUGAAUUGGUAUCCAGGUUUGACUACUUUUAUAAGAAACUUAUUUCCUGUAGUGUGUUGACACUUGAAGAAACAUGUUUCAUGUAAUCUAGACACUUGAAGAAGGCAACUGUAUAUGAAGCUCUGCAAUUCCCUCAUUGGUCCUGACAUAUUGGAUCCUUCGCCAUGCAUCCUGGGUUCAGGGGCUCAUUCUUUCCAAGAAAUUACAAAAAUCUUCUUGCUUCAGUUGCUUGUUACCUGUCAUACAACGUGUCAUCUCAUUCCAAAAUAUACUGAAGGCCUAAUAGACAUGGUUUGCAUGAGUUUAUCCAUUGCUUGCAUCUGUAUGUACAUACUGACAUGGAGUAACUCCUCUCUCAGUGAAUUUCAGAAAAGGGUCAUUUGGCGAUGACUCAUGUGAGCUGUGUUCAAGCCAGUUGACCAAUGCUGCAGCUAAAUCAUGUUUGGAGAAAGUAACCAUGAUGAUAUAUAGGUUAGAAACAAAAUAGAAGCCAAUUUUUAAGAUAAAACAUGGUAAACAUGAUAAACAUGGUAUUAGCACAACUGGAGCAAAGAUCACAACAUGGAAAAAUGAUCAUCAUUAUAGAUAAAAAAUAGGAUGGGUGAAUAAAAUAAUUAUUUCUCCUCAAUUUGACAUAGCAGAGCACGAGUACACCCAAAUAGAUACAUAAUUUUCCUGCUUUCCAUACUACCUAGAUAAUUAGAAUUGCUUGAAGGCAAAGUCUGUAAGAAAGGAAUAUGUAGAAAUUAGAAAACCAACAUAAAGUAAUCUGACAUUGUUCUAACCUUACGAAUUGAGGUGCAUUAGUAAGAAAAGUGAAACUUCUUACCCUGUUGCUUGCACAAGUAGCAGGCUUUCCUAGGUUUGAAUCACUCCAAGAAAUCAAUGGGUAAAUUGCGGCAGCUGCUUUGUUAUGCUAAUUGUGCGGAAGUACGAAGUGGUUAAGACAUCGACAUAGGGACGGAUUGCAUCACAAAUUCGACAACCAACAACGACAGGAGCACAUCUCUGAAGAAAGCACAAAUCCACAAUGUGAUCUCUACUCUCUGAUAGCCGGUGGAGAAAGUAGACGGAGAGCGCCAUCACCAGCACAUACAUGGGGUUCAUCACGAGCACUGGUGGAGCUCUGUCCAGGCUACAGAGGCGACGACGCGGGGUUCAUCUCCGUCACGCACAUUCAGGCGUCCACCGGCGGGCUGCAUGCCCUGUCGAGCCGGACCUAGUGCUCCGUCAAGGCUAUUAGUGCAGUAGCGCAGGUCGUUGCGCACACCGGCUCAAGCUUCAUGCCCCUGUAUCGCUUCUCGGCGUAGUGUACUCGCCGCUUACUCACUGGCCCCGUUUGCACCCUGCACAUGCACACACACAGACACACACACACACGCACGCACGCACGCACGCACACACACACACAGACACACACACACACAGAGAGAGAGAGACACACACAGACACACACACACACACACACACACACGAAGCUACGCACCGCAUACUCUACACAACCAGGACAACAUCUUCUACACACUCUGAAUUGAUUACAUAACAUCACAGAAAACAAUUUUGUUGUCAAAUUUCAAUAUAUUAUGGAAAGCAUGCUGAAAGAAACUUUGAUAGUUGAAAAUGCCUAAUUAUGUUUCCUAUGGGCAUCGGUUAAAAUGUCAAGAGUAGGGUUAAGAAUACCAUGAACAUAUAGCCUUCUUGCCAUAACGUAUCCUCAAUCUAGUCAGUUGUCCUUUUUUGUAUGGGCGC
Molecule: long non-coding RNA, 2001 nt
Filed under: Triticum aestivum (bread wheat)
Lineage: Eukaryota; Viridiplantae; Streptophyta; Magnoliopsida; Poales; Poaceae
Description: long non-coding RNA (TAES_LNC010574)
Source: RNAcentral